Molecule: ribosomal RNA, 253 nt
Filed under: uncultured bacterium
Lineage: Bacteria
Description: partial 16S ribosomal RNA
Rfam family: Bacterial small subunit ribosomal RNA
Source: RNAcentral
CACGUAGGGCGCAAGCGUUGUCCGGAAUUAUUGGGCGUAAAGAGCUCGUAGGUGGUUUGUUACGUCCGCUGUGAAAUCCUAGGGCUUAACCCUGGGCUUGCAGUGGAUACGGGCAGACUAGAGGUAGGUAGGGGAGAAUGGAAUUCCUGGUGUAGCGGUGAAAUGCGUAGAUAUCAGGAGGAACACCGGUGGCGAAGGCGGGUCUCUGGGCAGUAACUGACGCUGAGGAGCGAAAGCGUGGGGAGCGAACAGG